This 444-nucleotide ribosomal RNA is filed under the name Triticum aestivum (bread wheat). RNAcentral describes it as "partial small subunit ribosomal RNA". Lineage: Eukaryota; Viridiplantae; Streptophyta; Magnoliopsida; Poales; Poaceae. The record is from RNAcentral.
AUGUCCUGGUGGAAAUUGUGUGUUCCUAAAAAUCAAGGAGGAAUGGGAUUUUGUGAUAUCCACUACUUUAAUUUGGCACUACUCGCCAAACAGGCAUGACGUCUGUUGGAUAAUCCUGAUACCUUGUACGCUUCUAUCCUAUGGCCAAAAUAUUACCCCGAUGGUGAUCUGUUAAAUGCGAAGUUAAAGAAAGACUCUUCCUUUACAUGGAAAAGUAUAAUGGCAUGCACAAAUACACUGAAGCGUGGCUAUAUUUGGCGAGUGGGGAACGAACACACCGUUAAUAUUUGGGAAGAUGCCUGGAUCACAAACUAUGCAAUUAGGAAAAUUGUAACGCCUAAGGGAGGUAAUAUGAUAACUAAGGUAGGUGAUCUCAUUGAUCCCGCUUCUAAUAUUUGGUAUGAAGACCUGAUUGAACAAACUAUGUGGCCAAUCGAUGUAUAA